GGCUAGCCUGAUGGUAGUGGGUUAUCAGAAUUUAUUAACACUGGUGUCACUAAAGUUGGUAUAUAAUUCCCCCACUGCUAAAUUGGACUGGAUUUUA
RNAcentral lists this Y RNA (97 nucleotides) under Aotus nancymaae (Ma's night monkey). RNAcentral's name for it is "Y RNA (ENSANAG00000012332.1)". It matches the Rfam family "Y RNA". From Rfam's summary of the family: Y RNAs are components of the Ro ribonucleoprotein particle (Ro RNP), in association with Ro60 and La proteins. The record is from Rfam by way of RNAcentral. Lineage: Eukaryota; Metazoa; Chordata; Mammalia; Primates; Aotidae.